Molecule: ribosomal RNA, 806 nt
Filed under: uncultured Gammaproteobacteria bacterium
Lineage: Bacteria; Pseudomonadati; Pseudomonadota; Gammaproteobacteria
Description: bacterial SSU rRNA
Rfam family: Bacterial small subunit ribosomal RNA
Source: RNAcentral
ACAGAACUAGCUUGCUAGUUGCUGACGAGUGGCGGACGGGUGAGUAAUAUAUAGGGAUCUGCCUAAUAGUGGGGGACAACGUGUGGAAACGCACGCUAAUACCGCAUACAGCUCUACGGAGGAAAGUGGGGGAUCUUCGGACCUCAUGCUAUUAGAUGAACCUAUAUCGGAUUAGCUUGUUGGUGAGGUAAUGGCUCACCAAGGCGACGAUCCGUAGCUGGUUUGAGAGAAUGAUCAGCCACACUGGGACUGAGACACGGCCCAGACUCCUACGGGAGGCAGCAGUGGGGAAUAUCGCACAAUGGACGAAAGUCUGAUGCAGCAAUGCCGCGUGUGUGAAGAAGGCCUUCGGGUUGUAAAGCACUUUCAGAUGUGAGGAAAAGCAGUCUAUUAAUACUAGAUUGCCGUGACGUUAACAUCAGAAGAAGGACCGGCUAACUCCGUGCCAGCAGCCGCGGUAAUACGGAGGGUCCAAGCGUUAAUCGGAAUUACUGGGCGUAAAGCGCGCGUAGGCGGAUAUUUAAGUCAGAUGUGAAAUCCCUGGGCUCAACCUAGGAACUGCAUUUGAAACUGGAUAUCUAGAGUUAUGGUAGAGGUGAGUGGAAUUUCAGGUGUAGCGGUGAAAUGCGUAGAGAUCUGAAGGAACAUCAGUGGCGAAGGCGACUCACUGGGCCAUUACUGACGCUGAGGUGCGAAAGCGUGGGUAGCAAACAGGAUUAGAUACCCUGGUAGUCCACGCCCUAAACGAUGUCAACUAGGUGUGUGAGAGUCUAACUCUUGCGUAUCGAAGCUAACGCGAUAAGUUG